This 735-nucleotide long non-coding RNA is filed under the name Mytilus galloprovincialis (Mediterranean mussel). The record is from RNAcentral. Lineage: Eukaryota; Metazoa; Mollusca; Bivalvia; Mytilida; Mytilidae.
CAUGGGGUUUUUGAUUAUGUGAUUACUUGGCCGUUUUUUUAAUGAUUAUUUGAUUAUUAAGCCAAAUAUUCAUGAUUAUUUGAUUACCUAGGACUGUAUUUUUAGUUUAUGAUUAUUUGAUUACUAAAGAUAAGCAAAUAUUUAAUGAUUAUGUGAUUAUAUUGGCAAAAAAAUUGUGAUUAUGUGAUUACUAGGACCCCCCCAUGAGGGGCCUCAGAGCUUCGUGCUAAUUUCCCUGCAACUGAUCUGGUACAGUUCAACUGUAUGCAAAUUUCGGUAUCUGUACAGCUAAGGAUAUAUGUACAUGUAUCAUUGAUGCUAACUUGUAAUAAAUUGCAUAAAGUCUGAAAAGGAGAAUGGGAGAAAGGCAAGGUUCUUCAUGUUCAUUGUGUGUCUCAUUCACUGCAAAUAUCUCAAUAACAAAUGUAUUGUGUAAUCAGUUGCUCUGUGCCUUCCAGUGGUGCAAAAAAAAAUCAGCAUGGCAAUCAAAUUCAAGCGUACAUAUUUUUUCAUUCUCAAAUGGCUGUUCUUUUGCUGCAUAAGUGUGGUCUGAAUUUUUAUCUAACAAGAGUUCUCCUUUGACUUCUUCUGAUGUAAUAGAAAUUUCCUCAAAACCAGAGAUGUGUCAUAAUUGGAUGAUCCUUUUCAUCUUCAGUGUGGAUUGAAACUGCAACAGAUAUCUCCUCCAUAAUGGUAUCAACAGCUGUCCAUGGUCGAGGAUUGUACCUUUUUUUU